This 275-nucleotide ribosomal RNA is filed under the name uncultured Oscillospiraceae bacterium. RNAcentral's name for it is "partial 16S ribosomal RNA". It matches the Rfam family "Bacterial small subunit ribosomal RNA", at positions 68 to 339 of the family's 1533-position model. Lineage: Bacteria; Bacillati; Bacillota; Clostridia; Eubacteriales; Oscillospiraceae. The record is from RNAcentral.
AGAGAUGAGGAGCUUGCUCUUCAAAUCGAGUGGCGAACGGGUGAGUAACGCGUGAGGAACCUGCCUCAAAGAGGGGGACAACAGUUGGAAACGACUGCUAAUACCGCAUAAGCCCACGGCCCGGCAUCGGGCUGAGGGAAAAGGAUUUAUUCGCUUCAGGAUGGACUCGCGUCCAAUUAGCUAGUUGGUGAGGUAACGGCCCACCAAGGCGACGAUCAGUAGCCGGACUGAGAGGUUGAACGGCCACAUUGGGACUGAGAUACGGCCCAGACUCC